Molecule: long non-coding RNA, 395 nt
Filed under: Fukomys damarensis (Damara mole-rat)
Lineage: Eukaryota; Metazoa; Chordata; Mammalia; Rodentia; Bathyergidae
Description: lncRNA (ENSFDAG00000025582.1)
Source: RNAcentral
GGAAGACUUGAGGGCUGAGAAUGAAGAGCUUGUGCUGACUUAUCUUUUUAUUUUUUUCAGAUGGGUGUCUAUUUGUUGGUGUUUUCUCUUCUUACAGGAAGACCUGAAAGCUGGAAAGAUCAAUCAGGAGGCCAUGUCUGGACCAAAGAAGAGGAGAAUGGUGAGGCCACAAUAUACCAGACAGGAGAAGGGGGGCUGACUCUGGGCUUCAUGGAAAAUUCCUAGAGAAGGAAAAUAAAUUUUUCAUUGAGAAAGCAAUGCUUUCCUGGAGGAAAAUUUCACAUCCCUGAAGACAACAAAAAAGAAAAUUCAGAGAAAUAUUCAACCCUCAAUUAAAAUGGACAAGAAGCAACAAAAAAUGUGAAAUGAAAACAUUAUCACUUUUAAAACAACAC